AGAGUUUGAUCCUGGCUCAGAUUGAACGCUGGCGGCAGGCUUAACACAUGCAAGUCGAGCGGAGAUGAGGUGCUUGCACCUUAUCUUAGCGGCGGACGGGUGAGUAAUGCUUAGGAAUCUGCCUAUUAGUGGGGGACAACGUUUCGAAAGGAACGCUAAUACCGCAUACGCCCUACGGGGGAAAGCAGGGGAUCACUUGUGACCUUGCGCUAAUAGAUGAGCCUAAGCCAGAUUAGCUAGUUGGUGGGGUAAAGGCCUACCAAGGCGACGAUCUGUAGCGGGUCUGAGAGGAUGAUCCGCCACACUGGGACUGAGACACGGCCCAGACUCCUACGGGAGGCAGCAGUGGGGAAUAUUGGACAAUGGGGGGAACCCUGAUCCAGCCAUGCCGCGUGUGUGAAGAAGGCCUUUUGGUUGUAAAGCACUUUAAGCGGGGAGGAGGCUCUUCUAGUUAAUACCUAGGAUGAGUGGACGUUACCCGCAGAAUAAGCACCGGCUAACUCUGUGCCAGCAGCCGCGGUAAUACAGAGGGUGCGAGCGUUAAUCGGAUUUACUGGGCGUAAAGCGUACGUAGGCGGCUUUUUAAGUCGGAUGUGAAAUCCCUGAGCUUAACUUAGGAAUUGCAUUCGAUACUGGGAAGCUAGAGUAUGGGAGAGGAUGGUAGAAUUCCAGGUGUAGCGGUGAAAUGCGUAGAGAUCUGGAGGAAUACCGAUGGCGAAGGCAGCCAUCUGGCCUAAUACUGACGCUGAGGUACGAAAGCAUGGGGAGCAAACAGGAUUAGAUACCCUGGUAGUCC
This 796-nucleotide ribosomal RNA is filed under the name uncultured bacterium. Its description in RNAcentral is "bacterial SSU rRNA". It matches the Rfam family "Bacterial small subunit ribosomal RNA", at positions 8 to 796 of the family's 1533-position model. The record is from RNAcentral.